RNAcentral lists this non-coding RNA (30 nucleotides) under Rattus norvegicus (Norway rat). The record is from RNAcentral. Lineage: Eukaryota; Metazoa; Chordata; Mammalia; Rodentia; Muridae.
UUCAGCUUCACCUAGCAGGUGUUAUCAGAA